GUAUCUUCUCGAUAAACCCUUCUCUUUGCCUUACGAAUGCAUCUUCAUAGUCUUCUCCACCUAUCUAGUUAGUGGCUCCACCCUGCGAAUUUCAAAAGCGGUUAUUCAUUGAAGCCUUGUAGCGUAGCCAUGUCUUCUUCCAAAGACGCAGACCCAAACCUAGGUUUUCUAACUCGAAAGGAUACAGAGGUGAAGCUUCCACGACCAACCAGGGUUAAAAACAAAACCCCCGCUCCCAUUCAAAUCACCGCCGAGCAGAUUCUUCGCGAAGCUAGAGAACGUCAAGAAGCCGAGAUCCGCCCUCCCAAACAGAAAAUCACCGAUCCAACAGAGCUCGGCGAGUACCGUCUCCGAAAACGAAAGGAAUUCGAGGAUUUAAUCCGGCGAGUUCGAUGGAACAUUAGUGUUUGGAUUAAAUACGCACAGUGGGAGGAAUCGCAGAAAGACUUCAAACGCGCGCGUUCCGUUUGGGAAAGAGCUUUAGAAGUUGAUUACAAGAAUCACACGCUAUGGUUGAAAUACGCGGAGGUGGAGAUGAAGAACAAGUUCGUGAACCAUGCCAGGAACGUUUGGGAUCGUGCUGUUACUCUUUUGCCGCGAGUGGAUCAGUUAUGGUACAAGUAUAUUCACAUGGAGGAGAUGCUCGGAAAUGUCGCCGGAGCGAGACAGGUUUUCGAGAGGUGGAUGAAAUGGAUGCCGGAUCAGCAAGGAUGGCUCUCUUACAUUAAAUUUGAACUUAGGUACAAUGAAAUUGAACGAGCUAGGGGGAUUUUCGAGCGAUUUGUUCAGUCUCACCCUAGGGUUGGGGCUUGGAUACGUUAUGCCAAGUUUGAAAUGAAGAAUGGUGAGGUUCCUAAGGCGAGGAAUGUUUAUGAAAGAGCGGUGGAGAAGCUUGCAGACGACGAAGAAGCUGAACAGCUUUUUGUGGCGUUUGCUGAGUUUGAGGAAAGGUGCAAGGAGGCGGAGCGUGCAAGGUGUAUAUAUAAAUUUGCACUUGAUCAUAUUCCUAAGGGAAGGGCGGAAGAUUUGUAUCGCAAGUUUGUGGCGUUUGAAAAACAGUAUGGUGAUAGGGAAGGGAUUGAGGAUGCUAUUGUUGGGAAGAGAAGGUUUCAGUAUGAAGAUGAAGUGAGGAAAAAUCCUUUGAAUUAUGAUUCUUGGUUUGACUAUAUAAGAUUGGAAGAAAGUGUGGGGAAUAAGGAAAGAACUAGGGAGGUUUAUGAGAGAGCUAUAGCUAAUGUUCCUCCAGCUGAGGAGAAGCGAUAUUGGCAGCGAUAUAUUUAUUUGUGGAUUAAUUAUGCACUCUAUGAAGAGCUUGAUGCUGGCGAUAUGGAGCGAACAAGAGAUGUGUACAGGGAGUGUCUCAACCAGAUACCUCACCAUAAGUUUUCAUUUGCAAAGAUAUGGCUUCUAGCAGCCCAAUUUGAAAUACGGCAGCUGAAUCUCAAGGGUGCUCGUCAAAUAUUAGGAAAUGCUAUUGGAAAGGCUCCUAAAGAUAAGAUAUUUAAGAAGUAUAUAGAGAUAGAACUGCAACUUGGUAAUAUAGAUCGGUGCAGAAAACUCUAUGAAAAGUAUCUGGAGUGGUCACCUGAAAAUUGCUAUGCAUGGAGCAAGUAUGCAGAGUUAGAGAGAUCUUUAUCUGAGACCGAAAGAGCUAGAGCAAUAUUUGAGCUUGCAAUUGCCCAACCAGCAUUGGAUAUGCCUGAGUUGUUGUGGAAGGCAUACAUUGACUUUGAAACUGCUGAGUGUGAAUUUGAGAGAGCAAGGGUACUUUAUGAAAGGCUUCUUGAUCGAACAAAGCACUUGAAGGUAUGGAUAAGCUAUGCAGAGUUUGAAGCAACAGCAAUUGAUAAGGAGAGUUUAGACUUGUCAGAAGAAGAAAAGAAGCAAUGCAUUCAGCGUGCCAGAAGGGUGUUUGAGGAAGCUCUGAACCACUUCAGAUCAUCAGCUCCAGAUUUAAAAGAAGAAAGGGCAAUGCUUCUAGAGAAAUGGCUCAACUUGGAGGCUUCAUCUGGGGAGCUAGGUGAUGUUAGCUUAGUCCAGUCUAAGCUUCCCAAGAAGCUCAAAAAGAGACGGCAAGUUACUACUGAAGACGGUUCUUCUAGAAUUGAAGAAUUUAUCGACUAUCUAUUCCCUGAGGAAACUCAGACGACCAAUCUCAAGAUUUUGGAAGCUGCUUACAAAUGGAAGAAGCAAAAAUUGUCUACUGGUGAUGAUUAACAGUAUCUUGUUGCUCUCAUGCUUCCAGCGUGGCAUGAUUCCAUUCUUGUAUAACUGGCAAUAUUUGUAGCUUCAACAGCGAAGUCAAUUUUGGGCUUUUAAAGUUUGUAACAGAGAAGUGCAUUGAAGAACACGUGCUUUCCUUACAUUGUGAAUUGGAAGUCAUGGUUGUAAAUUGUGAUUUUCCUCACAUGUGAUAUAGGCAAUGUGUUAGGUAAACCACAAGUUUGCAUGCUUUGACUUCUUUUCAUGUGUCGUGGAAUGUGUUAUUACAUUGAAAUGGGGGAUUAAGCUUAAAGUGACAACAUUUGAAUACAAGAGAGUAAAGUUUACAAGAUUACACAUUCUCUACUUUUGCUAGUCUAAAGAGUCUUGUUGUUUGUAAGUCAUUUAUACCUCGAUAUGCUAAAAAAGCAAAGGUUGACCUUUUAAUUUGUAAAAACAUAAUGUUAUAUCAAAUUUGUGAAACAUUUUUUUAAUCAA
Cicer arietinum (chickpea) is the source of this 2700-nucleotide non-coding RNA. NCBI's taxonomy places the organism in Eukaryota, Viridiplantae, Streptophyta, Magnoliopsida, Fabales, Fabaceae. The record is from RefSeq and is a predicted model, not a curated record.